This 448-nucleotide ribosomal RNA is filed under the name uncultured bacterium. RNAcentral's name for it is "partial small subunit ribosomal RNA". It matches the Rfam family "Bacterial small subunit ribosomal RNA", at positions 26 to 518 of the family's 1533-position model. The record is from RNAcentral.
AGAGCGAACGCUGGCGGCAGGCCUAACACAUGCAAGUCGAGCGGCCGUAGCAAUACGGCAGCGGCAGACGGGAGAGUAACACGUGGGAACGCGCCCUUCGGUUCGGAAUAACUCAGGGAAACUUGGGCUAAUACCGGAUACGCCCUUACGGGGAAAGAUUUAUUGCCGAAGGAACGGCCCGCGUCCGAUUAGCUAGUUGGUGAGGUAACGGCUCACCAAGGCGACGACGCGUAGCCGGACUGAGAGGUUGGCCGGCCACAUUGGGACUGAGACACUGCCCAGACUCCUACGGGGGGCUGCAGUAACGAAUCUUCCGCAAUGCCCGAAAGGGUGACGGAGCGACGCCGCGUGUGGGACGAAGUCCUUCGGGAUGUAAACCACUGUCAGGGGCUACCAAGUUCUGAGGAGCCCCAGAGGAAGGCACGGCUAACUCUGUGCCAGCAGCCGC